CCGCCGUGGUAAUCCCGGCAGCUCAUGUGGUCGUCGCUUUUAUUGGGCCUAAAACGUCCGACUCCUGUUUGGUAAAUCUGUGGGUAAAUCACCCAUCUUAACUGGUUGAAUUCUGCAAAGACUGCCUCACUAGGGACCGGGAGAGGUGUGGGGUACUCGAGGGGUAGGGGUAAAAUCCUGUCAUCCUUCGAGGACCACCAGUUGCGAAGGCCCCCCCCUGGAACGGAUCCGACGGUCAGGGACGAAGCCUAUGGGCACGAACCGGAUUAGAUACCCGGGUAGUCCUAGGUGUAAACGCUGUGAACUUGGUGUCGGGGGUCCCCAAGGGGUCCCCGGUGCCGGAGUGAAGAUGUUAAUUUCUCUGGCUGGGAAGCACGGUCGAUUGGCUGAAAUUUACAGGAUUUGGCGGGGGAGCACUGCAACGGGAGGAGCGUGCGGUUUAUUGGAUUCAACCCCGGAAUACUCCCCAGGGCCGACUGUUAUUUUAAGACCAACGCAUUGAACUUGACUCAUUUUCCGAGAGAUGUUGCAUGGCCGUCAUCAUUUCGUACUGUAAAGCGUUCUGUUAACUCAUAUAACGCACGAUACCCUCCUCUCUAUUUGCAACCUGUCUCUCCGGAGGCGGCGCACUACUUACACACCGCUGGUGCGAUACCAGACGAAUGAGAUGCCUACGACAGGUCAGUUCCUCCCGGAUGUCAUGCAUUUCACGCGCGCUACAAAGGACGGGACAACGGGAAGCUAGGCCGAGAGGCCACGCUAACCCGAAACCCGUUCAUAGUUAGGAUUGAGGGCUGUAACUCGCCCUCAUGAAGCUGGAUUCAGUAGUAAUCGUGCUUCAAAACAGCACGGCGAAUAAGCCCCUGCUCCUUGCACACACCGC
RNAcentral lists this ribosomal RNA (883 nucleotides) under uncultured marine archaeon. Its description in RNAcentral is "SSU rRNA". It matches the Rfam family "Archaeal small subunit ribosomal RNA", at positions 462 to 1349 of the family's 1478-position model. The record is from RNAcentral.